UGGGGAAUAUUGCACAAUGGGCGCAAGCCUGAUGCAGCCAUGCCGCGUGUGUGAAGAAGGCCUUCGGGUUGUAAAGCACUUUCAGCGGGGAGGAAGGCGAUAAGGUUAAUAACCUUGUCGAUUGACGUUACCCGCAGAAGAAGCACCGGCUAACUCCGUGCCAGCAGCCGCGGUAAUACGGAGGGUGCAAGCGUUAAUCGGAAUUACUGGGCGUAAAGCGCACGCAGGCGGUCUGUCAAGUCGGAUGUGAAAUCCCCGGGCUCAACCUGGGAACUGCAUUCGAAACUGGCAGGCUAGAGUCUUGUAGAGGGGGGUAGAAUUCCAGGUGUGGCGGUGAAAUGCGUAGAGAUCUGGAGGAAUACCGGUGGCGAGGGCGGCCCCCUGGACGAAGACUGACGCUCAGGUGCGAAAGCGUGGGGGGCAAACAGG
RNAcentral lists this ribosomal RNA (429 nucleotides) under Chloroflexota bacterium. RNAcentral describes it as "Chloroflexi bacterium partial 16S ribosomal RNA". It matches the Rfam family "Bacterial small subunit ribosomal RNA", at positions 355 to 776 of the family's 1533-position model. The record is from RNAcentral. Lineage: Bacteria; Bacillati; Chloroflexota.